RNAcentral lists this ribosomal RNA (204 nucleotides) under uncultured bacterium. RNAcentral describes it as "partial 16S ribosomal RNA". It matches the Rfam family "Bacterial small subunit ribosomal RNA", at positions 340 to 536 of the family's 1533-position model. The record is from RNAcentral.
UACGGGAGGCAGCAGUAGGGAAUCUUCCACAAUGGACGCAAGUCUGAUGGAGCAACGCCGCGUGAGUGAAGAAGGUUUUCGGAUCGUAAAGCUCUGUUGUUGGUGAAGAAGGAUAGAGGUAGUAACUGGCCUUUAUUUGACGGUAAUCAACCAGAAAGUCACGGCUAACUACGUGCCAGCAGCCGCGGUAAUACGUAGGUGGCA